UAGUGUGGCCAAACUGAUCUACUGGAAAUUGUUUAAAUCCCCAAUUAAAACCCUAUCUUUCACCACCAGCAGCUUUCAAACUAUUUCUCCUAUUACAUCAACACCUCUACAGAGUAAAAACAAGGGAGAUUUGAAUUAAUCUAUUUUUGCGAAGUGAAAUGGCGUCAGAAGAUAGUAACAACGAUAUUCCCGAGGUCUGUGUUCUUCUACUUAACCCCAGAAGUUGAUGUUUUUUUUAAAGUAUUAUUUGGUGUAGGAUUAUUGGAGUAUUUUAGCUUAAUUUACACUGGAAAUUUUGAUUUUUGGGAAAAGUUCCAAUUUUUCUCCAAAUAACCGGAAAGUGGGAGUUUUUAUUGUUUGUUGAAGAAUUUAAGUUAACACAUUUUCAAUCUGCAUAUUAAUUUUGAAAUAUGAGCUGCAUUUGUGUAAAAAGUUUCGAUUCACAUAACAGUAUUGAUUUUUAUUUUGAUGUUAAGUGACUCAGAGGGGUUGAGUGCUUAAGACUCGUUGUAUUUUGACUAAUGUCCAUCUAAAGACUUGUUUUGUUAUCUACAAUAUGAGUUAAUUAAAAAAAGUACAUCUAAUUUGAGGCCUUAAUUUGCUUUCUUUCUGCUUUCUUUCUGCUUAUAGUCUUAUACCUUUUUCAGCAGAACAAAACCUAGAAAAGAGGAACUUUUAUGCAGAUAAUUGUAGUUUUCUAUGUUAAGAUAUACUGGGAAUAAUGCAGCAGAAUGUUUUAUCAAAUACUAGUUGCAUCCCCCAAAAAAUCGUUCACGCAUUUGAGUCUCAAAUCUUAAGGUGGCCAAACUUUUUGGGAUAAUAGAGUAUUUUAGUUGAAAGGCCGGUGAUGAUCUUUUCGAUAAUUUGCCUACAUUGUAUGAUUUUACAGUGAUAAAAAAAUAUCCAAAUCUGAGGCCUUUGCUACAGUGUGUAUGUUGAAUUUACCAUGUCUAUGCCAAACUUAGAGUUCAUUGCGAUACGAAGAUGAUCUUGUCUAAACCUACCUAUGUUCAAAUUUAAAAUAAAGUUAACAUGAGAAGUGUUAAAUGAUGCCUCUUGAACAAUAUCUCCUGUUUUCUUCUCUUUCCAUUCCCACCUGCCCUAAAGAAUGAAUUACAUAACCGUAAAAAACAAAAUCACAUAAGAAUUGGCUAAGGAUUUUGCAUGCAAUGAAUUUGUCAUUGCAAGGGUCACUAUACUGUUAGAAUUGUUGUAGCAGUUAGAGGUCAAAAUAGUUUGAUGUUUUGUCCAAGAGAAGAGGCCUGUGACGAUCUUUCAAAAUUUUGCCUACAUUGUUUGAUAAUACAAUGAUAAAGCUAUAUUUGUGUCUGAGGCCCUAUGAUCUGUCACUUGUCUUGGUUUCCCUCCUUUCUCUUCGCUAAUCCCUCAAACCUUCAUUAGCUAAACAAGACCUGAAAAAAGGAGGAUUUCGUAAGAUGUAAUUGUGUUAUAUAGGUUAUGACUGUGCUAUCCCUUUUAAAUGUUCAUAAAAAACAACUUGCAUCCCAGAAAACAUGUUCCCUUAUGUUUGUGAGUCUCAGAUAGUCAGAUGUCAAGGUGGACAAGCUUGGAAUAUUUUUCUUGUGUGGCCUGUGAUGACCAUAAUUUGUCUACAUUGUAUGAUUUUACAGUGAUGAAGGAAUAUAUAAGUCUGAGGCCUUGCUGUACGCUAUAUGAUUAUCUUUUUUCUCAAUCCUCCACCCCCCAAAUGAUCUUUCCUAAUAAGUAUGAGAAUAAUGAUGGAUAGAACACGUAGAAGUUGCGCAUAUGGUGAAAUGUUUCGGUUCUUGUUAAAUUUUACUUUUUUACUGUCCAAAAUUAUACGCCGACUCCCAUUUUUUUUAUGGCAAUCAGGCUACUUCUAAGUUAGUAUUAUACAAUGCUGUAUCCAGUUGCUGAGGAGGCCUGUGAUGACCUUUCCUAAUAUUAUGUCUACAUUGUUUGACUUCACUGUGAUAAGGAAUAUAGAGUCUGAGGCCUUCUUAUUAGAAUAGCUAAUGUAGUUGCAAUUUUCUUGAAGUGCAAGUGUCAACAUAUUAUAAGCCUGUAUCAGUUGAAAAAAUAAACAAGCCUGUAUCAGUGGAUAUAAGAUGCGGACAAAGAUAAUUGAUCAUUACUGGAUUUGUUUGGUUAAUUCUUGGUACAAAUUAUCUUCCUGCAAAAUGCCUUUAAUUUGUGGGUAAUAAAUUUGCGCUGAGUAUAAAUAAACAGGCUUACAAGAUUAAGUCAAAAGCUAAUGAUCAGUAACAUGUUUUUCUUUCGACGCAGUGUGGCUCUGCGUGGUUAUCCUGUGUAUAUUAAGAGUUGUUGCAGGUCUACUAGGUUUUACCACCUGCCAUUUUUGGCAACAACAGAAUGAUAAAUUGAUGAUUUAUUACCUAGAUAGCGGAUAAAUUAAGGGGUCGUUUGGUUAGGUCAUUUGAAAUGGAGUUAGAAUCCAUUCCAUCCAUUUUAUUUUUAUUGUUUGGUUGGGCAUUUUUGGAAUGGAGUGUCAUGUUAAGGGGGUUCUAUCUCCUUGCCAUAUCCCUGGAAUCCCAUACCCACCUAUUUCCUAAAGAUUCAAAAUCCAUUUUACCCAAGUUUCUUACCCUAAAUUACAAAAAAGAGAGAAGAGAUAAGAGGGUGAAGCCACCUGCCAUUACCGGCAACUACGAUUAGUCAACCGUCACUCCGACGACCAUCACCGAUGACAUACUCUCCGGUGGAUUGAUUCUCGUUGUGCGCCAAUUUUUAUUUUAUUUUUAAUUUUUUUCUUUAAUUCUUUUCAUCUGCAAUACUUCGUAUAUUUCUUUGCAGUAAUACCUUGUUGAAUGCUUUUGGAUUUUGGAUUUUGUAUUGGUCAUGAGUUGUUGUUUAAUUGAUAGUAGUAAUCAUUAGAAGAGUUGUCUCCGUGGUGAGUAUGACAACAUGUACUUGUAUCAGUUUCAAAUAGCUGGAUUGAACAUACUGUAGCUUUCUUUUCAAUUUGUUUAAAAUUACUCCUAUGCAAUACUUGUAUCCAUAUAAGUUAAAAGGUUAAUCAUAUUUUUUGGCA
Molecule: long non-coding RNA, 3034 nt
Organism: Spinacia oleracea (spinach)
Lineage: Eukaryota; Viridiplantae; Streptophyta; Magnoliopsida; Caryophyllales; Amaranthaceae
Exons: 2
Source: RefSeq, a predicted model, not a curated record